RNAcentral lists this long non-coding RNA (511 nucleotides) under Phasianus colchicus (ring-necked pheasant). RNAcentral's name for it is "lncRNA (ENSPCLG00000019248.1)". Lineage: Eukaryota; Metazoa; Chordata; Aves; Galliformes; Phasianidae. The record is from RNAcentral.
CGCCCAGUUGAAGCUGAUGCUGCUGACAGUGGAAACCUUUUCUGGUCUAAGAAUGGUAAGCAGAAAUAACUAGCAUUUUUCCAACUCAGCACAUCUUACUUCAUCUCACUGAUGUCCCAAAUCAGCUGAGAUGGACCACAUGAACUUCAGCAAGAAGUGUGAAGUCCUGAACCUGUGACAGAACAAUUGCAUGCACCAGAAUGUGCUGAAGCCACCCAUCUGGAAAGCAGCUGACAGAAGCCACUGGGAGUCGUCAUCUUUGUGAGACUGAGGAAGACCACACCUAGCUGCCUGAAUUGCAAUGCUGACUACAUACAUAUAAACAUUUAUUUGCCUGAGAGAACUUUGGAACUACUCUGUUUGUUUAUGUUGAUAAAAUUCACCAGGCUGUUCAAAAGAACAGUAAAAAUGGACAGAAGACUUGGAGGAAAAAAAAAAAAAAUUGGCUUAUAUUGAUGUCUUUUUUUUUUUAAAAAAAAAAAAAGGUGUUGAUUAAAAGAACUGGUUCCCA